Lagopus leucura (white-tailed ptarmigan) is the source of this 455-nucleotide long non-coding RNA. RefSeq lists it as uncharacterized. The transcript has 3 exons. The record is from RefSeq and is a predicted model, not a curated record. Lineage: Eukaryota; Metazoa; Chordata; Aves; Galliformes; Phasianidae.
GAGAUCCACUCCACCAGAGUUUUCUACAGGAGCCCAGGAUACGGAAACCAUGGACAUUUCCACAAUCACAGAAAUGUUUCUUAAGGUGAAAAAGGAGUUCUUCAAAUAAUGAUUAAAAUGUAAUUUCUUAAGGCCUUGAAUGGAGCAGUGAUGCUGAAAUCAGCAUGAAUUUCAAAGUUUUUAAAGGUGUAAAGAGAGACACAACAUAUGAUAUAAGAGAACUGUAAAGUGAAAAGGAGAUGAAGAAGUUUCCUCUGUGCAGACCUCUCAUACAGGUCAAUUCUGCAGGCUCAAUACAAUGACCAAAGGACAAAGAAAGCCAAGUGGUGGAGUUCUGACAUACAUCCUGCUGACACCAUCUCUCACCCUUCUAUGAUUUGGCUUUGGUCUUGUCAACCUAUACAAGCUAUAGCUGCCACAAAGAACCAUAGUUUCUUUCUAGAUCGCCAGUGCCU